AUGCCGCUCAGGUUGGAGAUCAAGAGGAAGUUCGCGCAGCGGUCCGAGAGGGUCAAGUCGGUGGAUCUGCACCCCACGGAGCCAUGGAUCCUGGCGAGUUUGUACUCGGGGACUCUCUGCAUCUGGGACUACCAGACGCAGACCAUGGUGAAAUCAUUUGAAGUUUCAGAGCUGCCAGUGCGGUCGGCAAAAUUUGUGUCAAGGAAACAAUGGGUUGUUGCCGGUGCAGAUGAUAUGUUCAUUCGUGUCUACAACUACAAUACCAUGGACAAAAUUAAAGUUUUUGAGGCUCAUACUGAUUACAUCAGAUGUGUAGCAGUCCAUCCAACUCUUCCAUAUAUGCUGUCAUCAUCUGAUGACAUGUUGAUAAAGCUUUGGGACUGGGACAAAGGGUGGAUGUGCACUCAAAUCUUUGAGGGGCAUUCACACUAUGUCAUGCAGGUUACUUUCAAUCCAAAGGAUACUAACACUUUUGCAAGUGCAUCUCUCGACCGCACUACAAAGAUAUGGAGUUUGGGUUCUCCAGAUCCAAAUUUUACUCUAGAUGGACAUCAAAAGGGUGUGAACUGUGUUGAUUACUUUACUGGUGGUGACAGACCCUAUUUGAUUACUGGUUCUGAUGACUCCACUGCAAAGGUCUGGGAUUACCAAACCAAGAGCUGUGUUCAGACUCUUGAAGGCCAUACACACAACAUUUCUGCUGUUUGUUUCCAUCCUGAGCUUCCUAUAAUCAUUACUGGAUCGGAAGAUGGGACAGUUCGUAUAUGGCAUUCGACAACUUACAGGCUUGAGAACACACUAAACUAUGGCCUUGAGCGAGUCUGGGCUGUUGGAUACAUGAAGGGAUCAAGAAGAAUGGUGAUUGGUUAUGAUGAGGGAACUAUUAUGAUUAAAAUGGGUCGUGAAGUACCAGUAGCAAGUAUGGAUGCCAGUGGAAAAAUCAUCUGGGCAAAGCAUAAUGAGAUACAGACUGUGAAUAUAAAGACUGUCGGUGCAAACUUUGAGGCUACAGAUGGGGAAAGAUUGCCCCUAGCUGUGAAGGAGUUAGGCAGCUGUGAUCUUUACCCGCAGAACUUGAAGCAUAACCCCAACGGCCGGUUUGUUGUUGUAUGCGGAGAUGGUGAAUACAUAAUCUAUACUGCACUGGCUUGGAGGAACAGAUCAUUUGGAUCCGCGUUAGAGUUCGCUUGGUCAUCAGAAGGAGAGUACGCAAUCAGAGAAAGUACAUCCAGAAUAAAGAUUUUCAAUAAAUCAUUCCAGGAGAAGAAAACUAUCCGUCCUACAUUCUCUGCAGAGCGUAUCUUUGGUGGGGUACUUUUGGCAAUGUGUUCCAGUGACUUUAUUUGCUUUUAUGACUGGGCUGAUUGUAGACUAAUUCGCAGAAUUGAUGUGACUGUCAAGAACGUCUACUGGGCUGAUAGUGGUGACCUAGUUGCAAUCGCAAGUGAUACAUCAUUCUACAUCCUGAAGUACAAUAGAGAUGUUGUUGCUGCCUACUUGGAAGGUGGAAAGCCUGCUGACGAGGAAGGCGCUGAAGAUGCUUUUGAGUUGCUUCAUGAGGUCAAUGAGCGGGUGCGAACUGGGAUUUGGGUUGGAGACUGUUUUAUUUAUAACAACUCAUCAUGGCGCCUAAAUUAUUGCGUUGGUGGAGAGGUCACCACAAUGUAUCACUUGGAUCGCCCUAUGUAUUUGAUGGGAUAUCUUGCGAAUCAAAGUCGAGUUUAUCUUAUUGACAAGGAGUUUAAUGUCAUUGGGUAUACAUUACUUCUCAGUUUGAUUGAAUACAAGACGCUUGUGAUGCGUGGGGAUUUGGAAAGUGCAAAUGAGAUCUUACCGUCCAUACCAAAGACGCAAUAUAAUAGUGUUGCUCAUUUCUUGGAGUCCAGAGGAAUGUUGGAGGAGGCUCUUGAGAUAGCCACUGAUGCUGAUUAUAAGUUUGAUUUGGCUGUGCAGCUUGGAAAAUUAGAAAUCGCGAAGGCUAUUGCCGUAGAAGCACAAAGCGAAUCAAAGUGGAAGCAGCUUGGUGAGCUCGCCAUGUCCACCGGGAAGCUUGAGGCAUCAGAAGAGUGUCUUCUGCAAGCGAAGGACUUGAGUGGCUUGUUGCUACUAUACUCAUCUCUCGGAGAUGCUGAAGGAGUCGAAAAGCUUGCUUCUCUAGCGAAAGAGCACGGAAAAAACAAUGUUGCUUUCCUCUGUCUCUUUAUGCUUGGUAAAUUGGAAGAUUGCAUACAAUUGCUUGUAGACAGCAAUCGUAUACCUGAAGCUGCAUUAAUGGCACGUUCUUAUCUUCCCAGCAAAGUUUCAGAGAUUGUAGCAAUUUGGAGAAAAGACCUCAGCAAAGUUAAUCCAAAAGCUGCAGAUUCUCUGGCAGAUCCUGCUGAGUAUCCAAAUUUAUUUGAGGACUGGCAGGUUGCACUUACUGUAGAACAGAAUGUUGCUUCCCAGAGGGGGCACUAUCCUUCUGCAGAUGAGUACUUGAACCAUGCUGAGAAGUCAGACACUACUCUUGUGGAAGCUUUCAAAAGGAUGCAGGUCAUUGAAGAAGAGGAACCAGUGGAAGCACUGGAUGAAAAUGGAGAGCCUGAUGAAGAGGUAAUGGAAACGGAGGAGAACGUGGAUGAAGCUGUCCAAGUUGAUACGGAUCAACCAGAAGAAACCGUUCUUGUAAAUGGGAAUGAGGGUGAGGAACAGUGGGUGCUAACCCAACAUGAUGAGUAG
This 2718-nucleotide ribosomal RNA is filed under the name Triticum aestivum (bread wheat). RNAcentral describes it as "partial small subunit ribosomal RNA". The record is from RNAcentral. Lineage: Eukaryota; Viridiplantae; Streptophyta; Magnoliopsida; Poales; Poaceae.